RNAcentral lists this non-coding RNA (24 nucleotides) under Columba livia (rock pigeon). The record is from miRBase by way of RNAcentral. RNAcentral also lists the same sequence under 1 other name. Lineage: Eukaryota; Metazoa; Chordata; Aves; Columbiformes; Columbidae.
CAUCCCCAUUCCACUCCUAGCAGC